This 86-nucleotide non-coding RNA is filed under the name Dehalogenimonas alkenigignens. RNAcentral describes it as "c-di-GMP-II sequence". It matches the Rfam family "Cyclic di-GMP-II riboswitch aptamer". Lineage: Bacteria; Bacillati; Chloroflexota; Dehalococcoidia; Dehalococcoidales; Dehalococcoidaceae. The record is from Rfam by way of RNAcentral.
GAAUAUCCAGGAGGCUGUGACCCGGCGCCCCCCAAUUUGGUCACUUGGGGCCCGGCGAGCCAACAGUGAAACCGGCUUGGGAGAGG